RNAcentral lists this small nuclear RNA (24 nucleotides) under Arabidopsis thaliana (thale cress). RNAcentral describes it as "snRNA_10618". The record is from RNAcentral. Lineage: Eukaryota; Viridiplantae; Streptophyta; Magnoliopsida; Brassicales; Brassicaceae.
GUGGUCCGUGAUGUUCAGGGUAAU